GACAAACAGGUUAAGUUAAGAUUAAUACAGUAAAAAAGAGGGUUAAAGGGAAUGUUAAAUUAAUGUUAAAAGAGAAAUUUUAUUUUUUGUGGAGGUGGAAUUUGUGCAAAAAAAGGUAAUUUGUUGUUUUCUUGUUCUUGAAUCCCUGAAAUCUCAAUAAAAAACCGGGAUUAGAUACCCCGUUAUUUGAGGUGUAAAAUUUAAUUAAAAGAAUUUACUUGAGUAUUACGAGUUGCAUAAAGAUAAUUUGUUGCAGGAAUCUUAAAACUCAAAAGACUUGGCGGUAUUUUAGGUCCUUCUAGGGGAACCUGUCCUGUAAUCGAUAGUCCACGAUUUACCUUUCCUUUUCUUGAAAUGUUCAGCUUGUAUACCGUCGUCGUCAGAUUACCUUUAAGAGUUAAAUAAGUUAUCGGAAGGACUUUUGUAGAUUGGUGUUAUAUUUCAGAUUAUAAAAUUUGAAAUUUAAUACUAUAAAAACAAUUUUCUGGAUGUCAGAUCAAGGUGCAGCUAAUGAAAAGGUAGAGAUGGGUUACAAUAAUUAUUUAUUAUUAACGGAUUUCUUAUUGAAAAUUAUAAGAAUUGAAGGCGGACUUAGAAGUAAUUUAUAAAAAUAGAAAAUUUAGGUGAAAAUGGCACUAAGAUGUGC
This 646-nucleotide ribosomal RNA is filed under the name Tegula pellisserpentis. RNAcentral's name for it is "partial 12S ribosomal RNA". The record is from RNAcentral. Lineage: Eukaryota; Metazoa; Mollusca; Gastropoda; Trochida; Tegulidae.